ACAGAAAUGCAGCCGUCUGGGGGGCAAGCCAGCCCAACUAGACGACGGUCACAAGCCCGUGAAAAUGCAGAGUGUUGC
Molecule: non-coding RNA, 78 nt
Filed under: unclassified sequences
Source: RNAcentral